RNAcentral lists this ribosomal RNA (874 nucleotides) under uncultured archaeon. Its description in RNAcentral is "bacterial SSU rRNA". It matches the Rfam family "Archaeal small subunit ribosomal RNA", at positions 22 to 903 of the family's 1478-position model. The record is from RNAcentral.
GGCUACCGCUAUUGGAGUUCGAUUAAGCCAUGCGAGUCUAGAGGCCUAGCCUCGGCGUACCGCUCAGUAACACGUGGGUAACCUACCCUAUGCUGGGGGAUAAGCUCGGGAAACUGAGAAUAAUACCCCAUAGUCCACUACGCCUGGAACGGUGAGUGGAUCAAAGCUCCGGCGGCAUAGGAUGGGCCUGCGGCGUAUCAGGUUGUAGGGGGUGUAACGUACCCUCUAGCCAUCCACGCGUACGGGUGUUGGGAGACAUUGCCCGGAGAUGGAUUCUGAGACACGAAUCCAGACCCUACGGGGUGCAGCAGGCGCGAAAACUUGGCAAUGCGAGAAAUCGUGACCAGGGAACUCCAAGUGGCAGGGGUAAGACCCUGUCUUUUUCCGACUCUAAAUAGGUCGGCGAAUAAGGGGUGGGUAAGGACGGUGCCAGCCGCCGCGGUAAUACCGGCGCCUCAAGUGGUAGUCGCUUUUAUUGGGCCUAAAACGUCCGUAGCCGGUCUGGUACAUUCGUGGGUAAAUCAACUCGCUUAACGAGUUGAAUUCUGCGAGGACGGCCAGACUUGGGACCGGGAGAGGUGUGGGGUACUCUCAGGGUAGGGGUAAAAUCCUGUCAUCCUGAGAGGACCACCUGUUGCGAAGGCUCCACACUAGAACGGAUCCGACGGUCAGGGACGAAGCCUAGGGGCACGAACCGGAUUAGAUACCCGGGUAGUCCUAGGUGUAAACGCUGUGGACUUGAUGUUGGGGACGCUCCGAGCGUUCUCAGUGUCGAAGCGAAGGUGAUAAGUCCACUGCCUGGGGAGUACGGUCGCAAGGCUGAAACUUAAAGGAAUUGGCGGGGGAGCACCGCAACCUGAGGAUUGUGCGGUUU